RNAcentral lists this small nucleolar RNA (113 nucleotides) under Carlito syrichta (Philippine tarsier). Its description in RNAcentral is "Small nucleolar RNA SNORA77 (ENSTSYG00000022899.2)". It matches the Rfam family "Small nucleolar RNA SNORA77". From Rfam's summary of the family: ACA63 (SNORA77) is a member of the H/ACA class of snoRNAs that guide the sites of modification of uridines to pseudouridines. Lineage: Eukaryota; Metazoa; Chordata; Mammalia; Primates; Tarsiidae. The record is from Rfam by way of RNAcentral.
GCAGAUUCACUCUGCAUCCAGCAAGUGCUUCUUUUGUCUGUCAGAGGACAUUCCAGGGUGCUGUGGCCACCUUAACUUGUCAAGAGUGAUGCAGCUGCAUUGGGAACACAGGA